Molecule: ribosomal RNA, 638 nt
Filed under: Staphylococcus aureus
Lineage: Bacteria; Bacillati; Bacillota; Bacilli; Caryophanales; Staphylococcaceae
Description: partial 23S ribosomal RNA
Rfam family: Bacterial large subunit ribosomal RNA
Source: RNAcentral
CCGAAACCAGGUGAUCUACCCUUGGUCAGGUUGAAGUUCAGGUAACACUGAAUGGAGGACCGAACCGACUUACGUUGAAAAGUGAGCGGAUGAACUGAGGGUAGCGGAGAAAUUCCAAUCGAACCUGGAGAUAGCUGGUUCUCUCCGAAAUAGCUUUAGGGCUAGCCUCAAGUGAUGAUUAUUGGAGGUAGAGCACUGUUUGGACGAGGGGCCCCUCUCGGGUUACCGAAUUCAGACAAACUCCGAAUGCCAAUUAAUUUAACUUGGGAGUCAGAACAUGGGUGAUAAGGUCCGUGUUCGAAAGGGAAACAGCCCAGACCACCAGCUAAGGUCCCAAAAUAUAUGUUAAGUGGAAAAGGAUGUGGCGUUGCCCAGACAACUAGGAUGUUGGCUUAGAAGCAGCCAUCAUUUAAAGAGUGCGUAAUAGCUCACUAGUCGAGUGACACUGCGCCGAAAAUGUACCGGGGCUAAACAUAUUACCGAAGCUGUGGAUUGUCCUUUGGACAAUGGUAGGAGAGCGUUCUAAGGGCGUUGAAGCAUGAUCGUAAGGACAUGUGGAGCGCUUAGAAGUGAGAAUGCCGGUGUGAGUAGCGAAAGACGGGUGAGAAUCCCGUCCACCGAUUGACUAAGGUUUCCAG